UUGAUAUCUCGACAUAUAAUUGAAUGAUAUGGAAGGGUGCAUCUUAAGAGGAAGGAGAUCCAUCUUAUAUAAUAGAUGUGUCAUCUGCAAAUUGAUACAAAAAGAGGGACGAAAGAUACCAAAGGGAUAGUCAAACUCAUAAAUCUAAAACAAACUGACAACGCCAUGGCUAAAAAUGAAAAAGACAAACAGAAAAACAAUAGUAAACAUGAC
Molecule: long non-coding RNA, 213 nt
Filed under: Mytilus galloprovincialis (Mediterranean mussel)
Lineage: Eukaryota; Metazoa; Mollusca; Bivalvia; Mytilida; Mytilidae
Source: RNAcentral